AUUUGCCCCCACCCCCCCGGGGAUUUCCCCCAGCCCCCAAGAGCGUAUAAAAAAAGUUGCGGCAGUAAAAAAAGCUCGAAGGGGGAUUUCUGUAUAAUUUUUUAUAAAAAUUUUUUGAUAAUUUUUUAUAUAAUAUCCACAUUCCUCAUAUUACUUUUUUUUUUAGUAUAUGAAAUUUUACUUUGAGAAAAUUAGAGUGCUUAAAGCAGGCAUAUGCCUUGAAUACUCCAGCAUGGAAUAAUAUUAAAGAUUUUUAUCUUUUUUAUUGGUUCUAAGAUAAGAAUAAUGAUUAAUAGGGACAGUUGGGGGCAUUUGUAUUUAACAGUCAGAGGUGAAAUUCUUAGAUUUGUUAAAGACAAACUAAUGCGAAAGCAUUUGCCAAGGAUGUUUUCAUUAAUCAAGAACGAAAGUUAGGGGAUCGAAGACGAUCAGAAACCGUCGUAGUCUUAACCAGAAACUAUGCCGAGUAGAGAUGGAGGUG
This 481-nucleotide ribosomal RNA is filed under the name Cryptosporidium parvum. Its description in RNAcentral is "partial 18S ribosomal RNA". It matches the Rfam family "Eukaryotic small subunit ribosomal RNA", at positions 569 to 1060 of the family's 1831-position model. Lineage: Eukaryota; Apicomplexa; Conoidasida; Eucoccidiorida; Cryptosporidiidae. The record is from RNAcentral.